UUUCCCCUUCCCUUGCAUGCAAGGCCAUUGGCCGAGUGGGGCAGUGGUGCCACAUGGCCAAGGGUGGGCGCCACUUGGCGCUUCUCCUCCGCCAAGUGGUGGAAGGGAAAGAAAAGAGAAAAAGAAGAAGAAAAGAGAAGAAAGAAGGGGGGCGGUGGUGAUCCGGCAAGAAGGGGAAGAGGAGGCGGUGAUGCUGGCAUUCCGGGCAGCAUGGCGGCGGGGAAAGGGAAGGAAAAUGAACAUGAGGGCGGAGCGGUAAAAACGUGGCAUCGGAAACAAUCGAUGUGAUGGCGAAUGAAACCAAGAAACAUGGUUCACGAUCCCAAAGACGACAAUGGUGACGAUUUCCAAAUUUUCCGUCGACGAAUGCCCUAAUCCCUUAGGAUCCUCUCGUUCCUCUUAUCAUAUGAGGGUUCAAGAUGUCACAGUGUCGCCAAACGUUGUUCGUCCAUUUGCACAGCAAAAAGACAUGUUCAAUAGUUUCCGGGCUUUGCCUACAGAGAGGACACACCGGUUCAGAAUGUGCACAGGUGCACCCAGGAACUAUCUCUCUCCUUGUCCGUGAUUGCUCUCUGUCAAGUUACUAACAGUACCUCAAUAGUUUCAGGCUAUUAUAUCCACAGCAAUUGCCACAAACUCUACCGCGACGCAGCCACAGAGAGAUAUAGCAAAGAAGAAUCCCAGUUAAUCUCUCUAUCAAGCAUUUUGUCGAACACUAGAUCUGCCCGUGGAAGUAGCUUCCGAUUGGCAAAGGAUUGGAGGCUCAAUCAAGGCGGCAAUGAACCAGAUGAGGCAAGCAGCAGUUGAGAAGGCUUGGUUUCAAGACGCAUCAACUGGUAACAACGAUUGAAACCAGCAGUGAAGAAGCAACCGUAACCAUGGUUGGACAGCGGCGCGAUUAAAUGGCAUGGCUCUGGGUGGAAGUGGAAGCACAGAGGCGUAGGGUGGCGUAGACGAUGGAUGAUUGGAGACGCAAUGGAUGAUGAGGAAGGACUCUCACAUCAAAAUCGAGAGAGGAAAAUGAUAUUGCAAAAUAGAAAAUCAUAGAUCAGCUACAUGAAAAAUGACUUGUCCAAAUUCAGAUGGGAAAUCAUUGUCUCUAAAACACCCGAGUUUUGUCGCAUCUACUCUUCUAGCUCCAGCCUGAGAAUGGCAUCUUAUUGUUCUAUCUUAUUCUUCCAUUCUCUCUC
Molecule: long non-coding RNA, 1190 nt
Organism: Syzygium oleosum
Lineage: Eukaryota; Viridiplantae; Streptophyta; Magnoliopsida; Myrtales; Myrtaceae
Exons: 2
Source: RefSeq, a predicted model, not a curated record